AUACGGAGGGUCCAAGCGUUAUCCGGAUUCAUUGGGUUUAAGGGUCCGCAGGCGGGAAAAUAAGUCAGUGGUGAAAGCCUACAGCUCAACUGUAGAACUGCCAUUGAUACUGUUUUUCUUGAGUAUAGAUGAAGUGGGCGGAAUAUAUCAUGUAGCGGUGAAAUGCAUAGAUAUGAUAUAGAACACCGAUUGCGAAGGCAGCUCACUAAACUAUUACUGACGCUCAGGGACGAAAGCGUGGGGAGCGAACAGGAUUAGAUACCCUAGUAGUCC
RNAcentral lists this ribosomal RNA (273 nucleotides) under uncultured bacterium. RNAcentral's name for it is "partial 16S ribosomal RNA". It matches the Rfam family "Bacterial small subunit ribosomal RNA", at positions 523 to 796 of the family's 1533-position model. The record is from RNAcentral.